AUACGUAGGGUGCGAGCGUUAAUCGGAAUUACUGGGCGUAAAGCGUGCGCAGGCGGUGAUGUAAGACAGAUGUGAAAUCCCCGGGCUCAACCUGGGAACUGCGUUUGUGACUGCAUCACUCGAGUACGGCAGAGGGAGGUGGAAUUCCGCGUGUAGCAGUGAAAUGCGUAGAUAUGCGGAGGAACACCGAUGGCGAAGGCAGCCUCCUGGGCCAGUACUGACGCUCAUGCACGAAAGCGUGGGGAGC
Molecule: ribosomal RNA, 247 nt
Filed under: uncultured bacterium
Lineage: Bacteria
Description: partial 16S ribosomal RNA
Rfam family: Bacterial small subunit ribosomal RNA
Source: RNAcentral